RNAcentral lists this ribosomal RNA (492 nucleotides) under uncultured bacterium. Its description in RNAcentral is "partial 16S ribosomal RNA". It matches the Rfam family "Bacterial small subunit ribosomal RNA", at positions 29 to 507 of the family's 1533-position model. The record is from RNAcentral.
AGUGAACGCUGGCGGUAGGCCUAACACAUGCAAGUCGAACGGCAGCACAGUAAGAGCUUGCUCUUACGGGUGGCGAGUGGCGGACGGGUGAGGAAUACAUCGGAAUCUACUUUUUCGUGGGGGAUAACGUAGGGAAACUUACGCUAAUACCGCAUACGGCCUACGGGUGGAAGCAGGGGAUCUUCGGACCUUGCGCGAUUGAAUGAGCCGAUGUCGGAUUAGCUAGUUGGCGGGGUAAAGGCCCACCAAGGCGACGAUCCGUAGCUGGUCUGAGAGGAUGAUCAGCCACACUGGAACUGAGACACGGUCCAGACUCCUACGGGAGGCAGCAGUGGGGAAUACUGGACAAUGGGCGCAAGCCUGAUCCAGCCAUACCGCGUGGGUGAAGAAGGCCUUCGGGUUGUAAAGCCCUUUUGUUGGGAAAGAAAAGCAGCAGGUUAAUACCCCGCUGUUCUGACGGUACCCAAAGAAUAAGCACCGGCUAACUUCGUG